GUGUCAGCCGCCGCGGUAAUACAGAGGGUGCGAGCGUUGUCCGGAAUCACUGGGCGUAAAGGGCGCGUAGGCGGCUCGGUAAGGUUGCGGUGAAAGCCCGGGGCUCAACCCCGGGUCGGCCGUGGCAACUGCUGAGCUAGAGCACUGUAGAGGCAGGUGGAAUUCCGGGUGUAGCGGUGGAAUGCGUAGAGAUCCGGAAGAACACCGGUGGCGAAGGCGGCCUGCUGGGCAGUGGCUGACGCUGAUGCGCGACAGCGUGGGGAGCAAACAGGAUUAGAUACCCGCGUAGUCC
Molecule: ribosomal RNA, 292 nt
Filed under: uncultured bacterium
Lineage: Bacteria
Description: partial 16S ribosomal RNA
Rfam family: Bacterial small subunit ribosomal RNA
Source: RNAcentral